CAGACCUGAAAUCAGGGCGAGGGUUACCCGCUGAACUUAAGCCAUAUUAUUAAGCGGAGGAGAAGAAAAUAACUAUGACUCCCUUAGUAACGGCGAGUGAACCGGGAUCAGCUCAAAGUGGAAAUCAACUGCUCUUUCCGAGCUGUUGACUUGUAGCCUCGAGAGGCGUUACCAGUGGAAGCGCAGGGUUAAGUUUCUUGGGAAAGAACAUCAUAGAGGGUGAGAAUCCCGUCCUUCCCCUGCGUUUUUUGUUCCACGUACGGUACGCUUUUAUAGAGUCGCGUUCAUCGGGAUUUGAGCGCAAAAUGUGUGGUAGGUUUCACAUAAAGCUAAGUACUGGCGCGAGACCGAUAGCAAACAAGUACCGUGAGGGAAAGAUGAAAAGUUCUUUGGAAAGAGAGUUAAAAGUGCCUGAAAUUGCUGAAAAGGAAGCGAUUGGGACCUUUUUGAUUCCAAGAAGUGCCGCCGGUUUGCCAUCUAUCCCUUUGCCUUCUCUCUCUCACCAGGUUUAGGCUUUGGUUUCUUGAUGUAUUUCCGGUUCAUCUUUUUGGAGAGGUCAGCAUCAGCUACUCGGAAUUGAUUUCGUUCAAAGAAGGUAGGUUCCUUGUGGACCGUUAUAUCUUUGUUCUUUCCUUUUCCUUGUGGCUGAGGAGUGUUCCUGUUUCCGAGCUCCACUUUCGAGUACUCGGUUUCUGUGAUGCUGGCUUAAUCGGUUCCAACCGACCCGUCUUGAAACACGGACCAAGGAGUCUAACAUAUGUGCGAGUAUGCGGGUUUUACUCCUGUAUGCGCAACAUGAAGUGAGAGUAGGGAGAUUUUGGCUUUGCAUUCU
Molecule: ribosomal RNA, 832 nt
Organism: Toxoplasma gondii ME49
Lineage: Eukaryota; Apicomplexa; Conoidasida; Eucoccidiorida; Sarcocystidae
Source: RefSeq, a predicted model, not a curated record